GGGCCCGCACAAGCGGUGGAGCAUGUGGUUUAAUUCGAUGAUACGCGAGGAACCUUACCAGGGCUUAAAUGUAAGUUGCAUAAGCUAGAGAUAGCUUUUUUCUUCGGACUACUUACAAGGUGCUGCAUGGUUGUCGUCAGCUCGUGCCGUGAGGUGUCAGGUUAAGUCCUAUAACGAGCGCAACCCCUGUUGUUAGUUGCCAUCGAGUAAUGUCGGGAACUCUAACAAGACUCCGGUGCAAACCGCAGAAGGUGGGGAUGACGUCAAAUCAUCACGGCCCUUACGUCCUGGCUACACACGUGCUACAAUGGCCGGUACAGAGAGCAGCCACUACGCGAGUAGGAG
This 345-nucleotide ribosomal RNA is filed under the name uncultured bacterium. RNAcentral describes it as "bacterial SSU rRNA". It matches the Rfam family "Bacterial small subunit ribosomal RNA", at positions 917 to 1267 of the family's 1533-position model. The record is from RNAcentral.